Molecule: ribosomal RNA, 856 nt
Filed under: Curtobacterium sp. RAG-35
Lineage: Bacteria; Bacillati; Actinomycetota; Actinomycetes; Micrococcales; Microbacteriaceae
Description: bacterial SSU rRNA
Rfam family: Bacterial small subunit ribosomal RNA
Source: RNAcentral
UGCAAGUCGAACGAUGAUCAGGAGCUUGCUCCUGUGAUUAGUGGCGAACGGGUGAGUAACACGUGAGUAACCUGCCCCUGACUCUGGGAUAAGCGUUGGAAACGACGUCUAAUACUGGAUACGACUGCCGGCCGCAUGGUCUGGUGGUGGAAAGAUUUUUUGGUUGGGGAUGGACUCGCGGCCUAUCAGCUUGUUGGUGAGGUAAUGGCUCACCAAGGCGACGACGGGUAGCCGGCCUGAGAGGGUGACCGGCCACACUGGGACUGAGACACGGCCCAGACUCCUACGGGAGGCAGCAGUGGGGAAUAUUGCACAAUGGGCGAAAGCCUGAUGCAGCAACGCCGCGUGAGGGAUGACGGCCUUCGGGUUGUAAACCUCUUUUAGUAGGGAAGAAGCGAAAGUGACGGUACCUGCAGAAAAAGCACCGGCUAACUACGUGCCAGCAGCCGCGGUAAUACGUAGGGUGCAAGCGUUGUCCGGAAUUAUUGGGCGUAAAGAGCUCGUAGGCGGUUUGUCGCGUCUGCUGUGAAAUCCCGAGGCUCAACCUCGGGCUUGCAGUGGGUACGGGCAGACUAGAGUGCGGUAGGGGAGAUUGGAAUUCCUGGUGUAGCGGUGGAAUGCGCAGAUAUCAGGAGGAACACCGAUGGCGAAGGCAGAUCUCUGGGCCGUAACUGACGCUGAGGAGCGAAAGCGUGGGGAGCGAACAGGAUUAGAUACCCUGGUAGUCCACGCCGUAAACGUUGGGCGCUAGAUGUAGGGACCUUUCCACGGUUUCUGUGUCGUAGCUAACGCAUUAAGCGCCCCGCCUGGGGAGUACGGCCGCAAGGCUAAAACUCAAAGGAAUUGACGGGGGCCC